AGAUGGCGACCGGCGCACGGGUGAGUAACACGUAUCCAACCUGCCGAUAACUCGGGGAUAGCCUUUCGAAAGAAAGAUUAAUACCCGAUGGUAUAAUCAGACCGCAUGGUCUUGUUAUUAAAGAAUUUCGGUUAUCGAUGGGGAUGCGUUCCAUUAGGCAGUUGGUGAGGUAACGGCUCGCCAAACCUUCGAUGGAUAGGGGUUCUGAGAGGAAGGUCCCCCACAUUGGAACUGAGACACGGUCCAA
This 247-nucleotide ribosomal RNA is filed under the name uncultured bacterium. RNAcentral's name for it is "partial 16S ribosomal RNA". It matches the Rfam family "Bacterial small subunit ribosomal RNA", at positions 86 to 334 of the family's 1533-position model. The record is from RNAcentral.